CGAGCGGCGCACGCGCGGUGACGGUAGGAUGGUGGCGUUGGUACCUUUUACGGUUCCCAUCGGGGGUGACAAAACCUUGCUGGUGUGGGAGCUGAGCUCCGGACCCACGGCCGAAACCUUGCAAAAAUUUCCAAGAAAACUCUAUUUCUUACAUUGAUGAAAGUAUAUGGAAGGCAUACCGCUGGACUGAGAAGCUAGGUGAGAAAACAAUCAAUCUUAGCACCAUCUGUUGACCAUUCCUCCUAACGCGUAUUCUGACAAUCACUGCGAUUCCUUCUAAAAUGGUGAAUUUCAACUUGAGACAAGUUGCUGAGCUGACCUACAACUAUUUAAACCCCAAAAGACUUCAAAUUGCAGAGAAAAUACUGGAAACUUUCUCUAGUCCUACUGAAUGGUGAGGGGCAUACAGAAUGUAGAAUUAAGAUCAUGCCUGUAUGUUUUCAAUACUUAUUAUUAUAUAAAGAGCAGUCAAAGC
Molecule: long non-coding RNA, 475 nt
Organism: Physeter macrocephalus (sperm whale)
Lineage: Eukaryota; Metazoa; Chordata; Mammalia; Artiodactyla; Physeteridae
Exons: 4
Source: RefSeq, a predicted model, not a curated record